CCUACGGGGGGCAGCAGUGGGGAAUAUUGGGCAAUGGAGGAAACUCUGACCCAGCGACGCCGCGUGCGGGAUGAAGGCCUUCGGGUUGUAAACCGCUUUCAGCAGGGAAUAAGCGAAAGUGAAGGUACCUGCAGAAGAAGCACCGGCUAACUAUGUGCCAGCAGCCGCGGUAAUACAUAGGGUGCAAGCGUUGUCCGGAAUUAUUGGGCGUAAAGAGCUCGUAGGUGGUUUGUUACGUCGGAUGUGAAAUGCAGGGGCUCAACCCCUGACUUGCAUCCGA
This 280-nucleotide ribosomal RNA is filed under the name uncultured bacterium. RNAcentral describes it as "partial 16S ribosomal RNA". It matches the Rfam family "Bacterial small subunit ribosomal RNA", at positions 338 to 630 of the family's 1533-position model. The record is from RNAcentral.